This 301-nucleotide ribosomal RNA is filed under the name uncultured bacterium. RNAcentral's name for it is "partial 16S ribosomal RNA". It matches the Rfam family "Bacterial small subunit ribosomal RNA", at positions 509 to 807 of the family's 1533-position model. The record is from RNAcentral.
CAGGAGCCGCGGGAAAACGGAGGGUGCAAGCGUUAUCCGGAUUUAUUGGGUUUAAAGGGUCCGUAGGCGGAUCUGUAAGUCAGUGGUGAAAUCUCACAGCUUAACUGUGAAACUGCCAUUGAUACUGCAGGUCUUGAGUAAAUUUGAAGUGGCUGGAAUAAGUAGUGUAGCGGUGAAAUGCAUAGAUAUUACUUAGAACACCAAUUGCGAAGGCAGGUCACUAAGAUUUAACUGACGCUGAUGGACGAAAGCGUGGGGAGCGAACAGGAUUAGAUACCCCGGUAGUCCCUGUCUCUUAUAC